Molecule: ribosomal RNA, 492 nt
Filed under: uncultured Desulfobulbus sp.
Lineage: Bacteria; Pseudomonadati; Thermodesulfobacteriota; Desulfobulbia; Desulfobulbales; Desulfobulbaceae
Description: bacterial SSU rRNA
Rfam family: Bacterial small subunit ribosomal RNA
Source: RNAcentral
GAAACUUAAAGGAAGUUGACGGGGCCCGCACAAGCGGUGGAGUAUGUGGUUUAAUUCGAUGCAACGCGAAGAACCUUACCUGGUCUUGACAUCCCGGAGACCCUUAGGAAACUAGGGGUGCUUCCAUCUGGAAGAAUCUGGAGACAGGUGCUGCAUGGCUGUCGUCAGCUCGUGUCGUGAGAUGUUGGGUUAAGUCCCGCAACGAGCGCAACCCUUGCCUUUAGUUGCCAGCAGUUCGGCUGGGCACUCUAAAGGGACUGCCGGUGUUAAACCGGAGGAAGGUGGGGAUGACGUCAAGUCCUCAUGGCCUUUAUGACCAGGGCUACACACGUACUACAAUGGCCGAUACAAAGGGCAGCGACACUGCGAGGUGAAGCCAAUCCCGUAAAAUCGGUCUCAGUCCGGAUUGGAGUCUGCAACUCGACUCCAUGAAGUUGGAAUCGCUAGUAAUCGCGCAUCAGCCAUGGCGCGGUGAAUACGUUCCCGGGCCUU